Long non-coding RNA from Macaca mulatta (Rhesus monkey), 560 nucleotides. RefSeq lists it as uncharacterized. NCBI's taxonomy places the organism in Eukaryota, Metazoa, Chordata, Mammalia, Primates, Cercopithecidae. The record is from RefSeq and is a predicted model, not a curated record.
CCUGCUCUUUCUAAACUUCAUUUUCUUUCAAUUUCCAGGAGGGGACCAAGUCUCUGUGGCAGUUUCCUGAUCUUCUGGAUAUGCUGCCAUGCUGUCCCAAGGCUGGUGGUGUCCCCUGACUUGUUCCUCUCCUGACUUUCUCAGCCUGGAGACUGAAAGCUCUCUUUGACUGUUGGCCCUCCCAGGCAGAGUCCACCGGCUGUUAGGGUGAAAUGGGGCUGAUGCUUCCUGGAAUCCACCAGAAGUAUGCAAAUUGCACCAUCUCUUUCAGCUGCCUGCGCCUGCAUUCCAUCGAAGAUUCCUGUAAGAAGAAACCAUCCUGUUCCUCUUUACAGGAUCUUGCUGUCGCCCAGGCUGCAGUGCAGUGGCUCGAAUGAAUGAGCCCCUCCGCAUUCCCUUUCCCCUUCUGUGGCUUGCUGCAGAUGAUGACAAGGCCCAAAGGGCUGGUGAUAGCCACAGUGACCUUGGAGGCUGCUGUGGAGGAUUGUGGAGGAUUUAACCGUUCUCCCCAGGCUGUCACAUGAAAAAUAAACCAACUUCUUGUGUUUUUGGUCCCCAAA